GUCCUUUUGUAGUUCAUAAAAGGGAUGACGGGGUGUUCACGCUGUUGUGUGACGUGUGCCUCCCUCAGCAAGUGUAUUUUAACAACACAAACCACACACACGGCUCUGCGCCUUGCUUUUUUCACU
Molecule: small nucleolar RNA, 126 nt
Organism: Ailuropoda melanoleuca (giant panda)
Lineage: Eukaryota; Metazoa; Chordata; Mammalia; Carnivora; Ursidae
Source: Ensembl